GAUGAACGCUGACAAAAUGCUUAACACAUGCAAGUCUACUUGAAACACUUUCGGGUGUGGAUGGUGGCGGACGGGUGAGUAACGCGUAAAUAACUUGCCCCCUAGUCUGGGACAACUGUUGGAAACGACAGCUAAUACUAAAUAUUAUGAGAUCUUGGCAUCAAGGACUUAUGAAAGCUAUAUGCGCUAGGGGAGAGAUUUGCGUCCUAUUAGCUAGUUGGUGAGGUAAUGGCUCACCAAGGCAACAAUAGGUAGCCGGCCUGAGAGGGUGAACGGCCACAAGGGGACUGAAACACGGCCCAAACUCCUACGGGAGGCAGCAGUGGGGAAUAUUGCACAAUGGAGGAAACUCUGAUGCACCGACCCCGCGUGAGUGAAAAAGUAAUUCGUUGUGUAAAGCUCUAUCAGCAGGGAAAAUAGUGACGGUACCUGACUAAAAAGCUCCGGCUAAAUACGUG
RNAcentral lists this ribosomal RNA (458 nucleotides) under uncultured bacterium. RNAcentral's name for it is "bacterial SSU rRNA". It matches the Rfam family "Bacterial small subunit ribosomal RNA", at positions 28 to 507 of the family's 1533-position model. The record is from RNAcentral.